Vigna angularis (adzuki bean) is the source of this 544-nucleotide long non-coding RNA. RefSeq lists it as uncharacterized. The transcript has 3 exons. Lineage: Eukaryota; Viridiplantae; Streptophyta; Magnoliopsida; Fabales; Fabaceae. The record is from RefSeq and is a predicted model, not a curated record.
AUGAACUAAUAAAGUAAUAAACUCUGAAAUCAAUAACAUGAAACUAAUAAGAUCUGUCCAAAAUAUUCAAAAUCGAGAAAUCUCUCUUGGCGCCAGAUUGAUAACCUUCCCUCUCACCAAGAGCGCAACUAACACCCAGUCGUCACUCACUCUACGCCGGUCAGAAGUUAUCAUCAUUGUCUUCUCCACUCACAGUUUCAAAAUUUCCGUCACCAUCUCUUAAGCAAAACGCGAUCAGAGGCGAAGGGAGUGCGUGGAACAUCAUCUUCGUUUGUUGCUGCUGUUAUCUAUGUUUUGUUCCAUUUGGAAUUGCGUUCAGUUGUAGAUCAGAGAGGAGGAGGACUUCAAUUCAGGACAUGGGAGGUGGAACGUCAAUAAUAAGAUAUCGAAUUUGCUUGGGAAGUCUGAUGGAAAGAGACGUAUUCCUAACAAAAUCAAGAAAAGAGGCAAUUUUCAAACUGUGGUAUCCACUUUUCUAUUGUCUGCUAUUAUUAGUCACAAUUUGUCUUAAGUGAGGUUGUUUCCAUAAUAAAUUGUAAAUGAU